UCGAGCCGUAUGCGAUGAAAGUUGCACGUACGGUUCCACGAGGGGGAAAAUUUAGUAAUAGAUCGACCUAUCUCAAC
This is a non-coding RNA of Pachysolen tannophilus NRRL Y-2460, 77 nucleotides long. Lineage: Eukaryota; Fungi; Ascomycota; Pichiomycetes; Alaninales; Pachysolenaceae. The record is from Rfam.